AGCAGUAGCCACGGGAAUACAGAGGGUGCGAGCGUUAAUCGGAUUUACUGGGCGUAAAGCGUGCGUAGGCGGCUUCUUAAGUCGGAUGUGAAAUCCCUGAGCUUAACUUAGGAAUUGCAUUCGAUACUGGGAAGCUAGAGUAUGGGAGAGGAUGGUAGAAUUCCAGGUGUAGCGGUGAAAUGCGUAGAGAUCUGGAGGAAUACCGAUGGCGAAGGCAGCCAUCUGGCCUAAUACUGACGCUGAGGUACGAAAGCAUGGGGAGCAAACAGGAUUAGAUACCCGUGUAGUCCCUGUCUCUUAUAC
This 303-nucleotide ribosomal RNA is filed under the name uncultured bacterium. Its description in RNAcentral is "partial 16S ribosomal RNA". It matches the Rfam family "Bacterial small subunit ribosomal RNA", at positions 507 to 807 of the family's 1533-position model. The record is from RNAcentral.